This 310-nucleotide long non-coding RNA is filed under the name Panax ginseng (ginseng). Its description in RNAcentral is "long non-coding RNA (PGIN_LNC016636)". The record is from RNAcentral. Lineage: Eukaryota; Viridiplantae; Streptophyta; Magnoliopsida; Apiales; Araliaceae.
GAUAAUGAAGAGAGAAAGGCGCGAAUGUUUUUAAGAGGUUUGAAGCCGGAGAUACGUCAACAUCUUAUUUCUCAUAAACUGUGUUUGUAUUCAGAUGUUGUAAAUAGGGCUCAGUUAGUGGAGCGCGAUAACGAGUCAACGCAACUAAAAGAGAGCAGCCGGCAAAAUUAUAAUACCAGCGAGAGUAGUCAUCGAAGCGGUGACAACAAGCGUGGAGGGAAUCAACAGGCCAGAAAUGGUAACCACUUCGGUGGUAAUCAGGGCCAAAACAAUAAGAAUGGACAUUUCAAGAAAAGGAGAUUCAACAAUG